AGUGCAGAGCGAAAAGAGCGGAAAAGUAACAUUCCAACAUUCUAACAAUGGAACACUGCGACAUUGUAACAUUGGUUUUGUUUGAGGAUCCCGCGUAAAAUACACGCUGACAGCCGGAGGAGUUUUCAGACAGCGAAUGUGGAUUGUGUUUGAAGCAGCUGACUGGGCACUUUUUUUGGAUACGGUUGUACUGAACGGAAACGGGGGGAAACCGUCUGAAUGGUAACGACAAUAUGCGGAGCCGUUUACAUUCCGCAACCAGAAGUUUAUGGAAGGCGAUAUGGGAAAGUUAGUUUCUAAACGCGAAUGUCACUAACAGAACCGAUGUGGUUCUUCGAACCUCGUUUGCUUCGGACACGUCAAUGUAAUAAUGAUCAUCAUGUCUUAUGUUAUGGAUUCAUAACGCUAUUCGUUUGCUUCUUUAACGUUACAUUCUGAAACCGCCACACAUCAAAUGGCAUAAGAAGAUGACUGAAUUUCACAAAGGUCAUUUCACAAAAACGCACCGGGAGUUCUUUAUAUCGCAUUUGCUCGGACUUGUAUGUGAUUCUGGUUAAAUUGAUCGUUGAUGGCUGUUUCUGUUCGGAUUUACUCUCCACCGGCUGAUCAGGAGGGAUCGAUCCGCCUGAUUCACCCUUUCCAGCAUCUACAGGAGGAGGACGAGCUCGGGACGCGAGAGAGGCUGGUGGUUUUGGACCUGGACUGUUUCGAAGACUUGGCUUUUAUAUCUGGACCUGGAUUAUAAAGCCAGUUCCCAGGAAAUCGUCCCCGUCUUGUGUGCUUUAUGCCUUCGUGAGGGUUUCGCAGGCAGGGAUGCAGUUGAAUCGACCCAAGAGCGCGCAUCUCAUCAGCUCCAGUCCACACAGUUCAUCUUCUUAUUCCAGUCAGUUCAAAAGCAUGCGCUUCUCAUACCACAUCAGCAGCGGUUUACCCAGUCCACAGCCUGCCCUGCGCAGAUCAGGCCCCUGCCUCGGAGCCCAUGAGACCCCACAGCGCCUCUGCUCUGGACCCUGGACCCCUGGAAACACAGCACUGCAAUGGCACAAGUGAGGACGGACCUCAGGACGUCCCGCCACCACCCACUAAAACACGCCCACCUUUACCUGGGCCAAAGCCUCAAGUGCCCCCGAAACCCCCUCAUCUACAGCAGAAGAGUGCUCGAAGGACAUGCCCCCCGGAUAAACCCCUCCCACCUCCACCCUCCCGCC
Carassius auratus (goldfish) is the source of this 1208-nucleotide long non-coding RNA. RefSeq lists it as uncharacterized. The record is from RefSeq and is a predicted model, not a curated record. Lineage: Eukaryota; Metazoa; Chordata; Actinopteri; Cypriniformes; Cyprinidae. The transcript is spliced from 3 exons.